UAUUAAUUGCCAUCCAUCAGCAACAAUUACCAAAUAUUCUUAACAAGUUGAAGUGCUGAACCAAACAAACCAUUAAUACAAAUAACAAUUACCAUAGUUUUAACAGUACAUUACAACAUAAUGCACACUCCAAAAGUCAGGAUCUUAUCUCGUUGCUUGUUUAAAUGUUAUUGACUCUUCUAAAUGAACAUAUGUGCAUUUUCUGUAAGUGAAAAUACUUGCAAAUAAAAGAUCACUGGAAAAAACUAGAAACAACCUGCUUAACGAAUUUCUAUGAGAAUGAGUUACAGGCAUUGUAAAUAAUCAUAAAAAGUUGAAAUAUAAAUUGGAAUACAAGGGCAAAAUGUUCAAAGGUGUUAUUAAACUAGAUAAAAGUCAGUAAAGCACCUUCAAAUUGUUACCCCCCUCAAAAUCUUCAAGAUCAUUGGUUAGUGAACUGCAAUUACUGCAAUCAAGAUUCAAGAAAGUAGCUUUGCACGAGUAGCCGGAUCCUCUUUUGAUUCCACAUGAAUCAUGAAUGCAUAUCCCAGAGACCACAAAAGAAUGUAUUGGAAGGGGACCCAAGAUAGACAUGCAAGAAGGCUCAAAAUGCUUCCAACAUAUUGAGGAUCUUUUAUAACACCAAAUGGAAAUUCUGUCACCCAAGGAAUGUUCUCUCCAAAGCGUACACCAUAGUACGUACCUGAUUCACCAAGCAACUGGUAUACCCUGAAGUUGAGAAACUGACCAAAGCCAAAGAGGGGCCAGAAGUAGAGAGGAGGAGGCAAGGAGAAGGAAGAGACAGAAUAGAGAGAAAUGAACUGAAGCAGCUUGAGGAAAUGGGAGACAUGGGCCAUAACUUUACAUGGGUCACGCUCUUUCCCACAAAGGUUCACCCAUGACUGUGGUUUUGUCCAUAGCCAGUAGUAGUACGGAAAUGGGAGAAUGACCCCUAUUGCUGCAAAAACACCCAUUUGUUUGCUUGGACUCGCUGAGUCUUGAGUUUUCUUGGGGAAAAUCAGUCAGUCCCUAUGGCGAUGGCUAUGGCUAACGUACUUCAGAA
Molecule: unclassified non-coding RNA, 1042 nt
Filed under: Hevea brasiliensis (rubber tree)
Lineage: Eukaryota; Viridiplantae; Streptophyta; Magnoliopsida; Malpighiales; Euphorbiaceae
Source: RNAcentral